RNAcentral lists this ribosomal RNA (760 nucleotides) under uncultured bacterium. RNAcentral's name for it is "bacterial SSU rRNA". It matches the Rfam family "Bacterial small subunit ribosomal RNA", at positions 28 to 777 of the family's 1533-position model. The record is from RNAcentral.
GAUGAACGCUAGCUACAGGCUUAACACAUGCAAGUCGAGGGGCAGCAUGGUCUUAGCUUGCUAAGGCCGAUGGCGACCGGCGCACGGGUGAGUAACACGUAUCCAACCUGCCGUCUACUCUUGGACAGCCUUCUGAAAGGAAGAUUAAUACAAGAUGGCAUCAUGAGUCCGCAUGUUCACAUGAUUAAAGGUAUUCCGGUAGACGAUGGGGAUGCGUUCCAUUAGAUAGUAGGCGGGGUAACGGCCCACCUAGUCUUCGAUGGAUAGGGGUUCUGAGAGGAAGGUCCCCCACAUUGGAACUGAGACACGGUCCAAACUCCUACGGGAGGCAGCAGUGAGGAAUAUUGGUCAAUGGGCGAGAGCCUGAACCAGCCAAGUAGCGUGAAGGAUGACUGCCCUAUGGGUUGUAAACUUCUUUUAUAAAGGAAUAAAGUCGGGUAUGCAUACCCGUUUGCAUGUACUUUAUGAAUAAGGAUCGGCUAACUCCGUGCCAGCAGCCGCGGUAAUACGGAGGAUCCGAGCGUUAUCCGGAUUUAUUGGGUUUAAAGGGAGCGUAGAUGGAUGUUUAAGUCAGUUGUGAAAGUUUGCGGCUCAACCGUAAAAUUGCAGUUGAUACUGGAUAUCUUGAGUGCAGUUGAGGCAGGCGGAAUUCGUGGUGUAGCGGUGAAAUGCUUAGAUAUCACGAAGAACUCCGAUUGCGAAGGCAGCCUGCUAAGCUGCAACUGACAUUGAGGCUCGAAAGUGUGGGUAUCAAACCAGG